GUUUGAUCCUGGCUCAGGAUGAACGCUAGCGGCAGGCUUAAUACAUGCAAGUCGAACGGGAUUCGGGGUAGCAAUACUUUGAUGAGAGUGGCGCACGGGUGCGUAACGCGUAUGCAACCUACCUUUAACAGGGGAAUAGCCCCGAGAAAUCGGGAUUAAUACUCCGUAACAUUGCGGUGUGGCAUCACACUGCACUUAAAGCUGAGGCGGUUAAAGAUGGGCAUGCGUGACAUUAGCUAGUUGGUGAGGUAACGGCUCACCAAGGCAACGAUGUCUAGGGGUCCUGAGAGGGUUAUCCCCCACACUGGUACUGAGACACGGACCAGACUCCUACGGGAGGCAGCAGUAAGGAAUAUUGGUCAAUGGGCGCAAGCCUGAACCAGCCAUGCCGCGUGCAGGAAGACGGCCCUAUGGGUUGUAAACUGCUUUUGUCAGGGAAUAAACCCCCGCUCGUGAGCGGGGCUGAAGGUACCUGAAGAAUAAGCAUCGGCUAACUCCGUGCCAGCAGCCGCGGUAAUACGGAGGAUGCAAGCGUUAUCCGGAUUCAUUGGGUUUAAAGGGUGCGCAGGCGGAUUGGUAAGUCAGGGGUGAAAUCCCACAGCUCAACUGUGGAACUGCCUUUGAUACUGUCAGUCUAGAGUAUAGUUGAAGUUGGCGGAAUGUGUCAUGUAGCGGUGAAAUGCUUAGAUAUGACACAGAACACCGAUCGCGAAGGCAGCUAGCUAAGCUAUAACUGACGCUCAUGCACGAAAGCGUGGGGAUCAAACAGGAUUAGAUACCCUGGUAGUCCACGCUGUAAACGAUGAUUACUCGAUGUUGGCGAUACACAGUCAGCGUCUGAGCGAAAGCAAUAAGUAAUCCACCUGGGGAGUACGAUCGCAAGAUUGAAACUCAAAGGAAUUGACGGGGGCCCGAAUCACUAGUGAAUUC
This 930-nucleotide ribosomal RNA is filed under the name uncultured Lentimicrobium sp. Its description in RNAcentral is "bacterial SSU rRNA". It matches the Rfam family "Bacterial small subunit ribosomal RNA", at positions 11 to 939 of the family's 1533-position model. The record is from RNAcentral. Lineage: Bacteria; Pseudomonadati; Bacteroidota; Bacteroidia; Bacteroidales; Lentimicrobiaceae.